UACGUAGGGUGCAAGCGUUAAUCGGAAUUACUGGGCGUAAAGCGCGUGUAGGCUGCUCUGCAAGUCGGAUGUGAAAGCCCUGGGCUCAACCUAGGAAGUGCAUUCGAAACUGCAGAGCUGGAGUCCUGGAGAGGAAGGCGGAAUUCUCGGUGUAGAGGUGAAAUUCGUAGAUAUCGAGAGGAACACCGGUGGCGAAGGCGGCCUUCUGGACAGUGACUGACGCUGAGACGCGAAAGCGUGGGGAGCAAACAGG
This 253-nucleotide ribosomal RNA is filed under the name uncultured bacterium. RNAcentral describes it as "partial 16S ribosomal RNA". It matches the Rfam family "Bacterial small subunit ribosomal RNA", at positions 524 to 776 of the family's 1533-position model. The record is from RNAcentral.